Molecule: ribosomal RNA, 493 nt
Filed under: uncultured bacterium
Lineage: Bacteria
Description: partial 16S ribosomal RNA
Rfam family: Bacterial small subunit ribosomal RNA
Source: RNAcentral
ACGCACGCUGGCGGCGUGCUUAACACAUGCAAGUCGAACGGUGAAGCGCCUUCCUUUUUGGUGGGUGUGGAUGAGUGGCGAACGGGUGAGUAACACGUGAGUAACCUGCCCCCUUCUUCUGGAUAACCGCAUGAAAGUGUGGCUAAUACGGGAUAUUCUGGGUCUGUCGCAUGAUGGGUCUGGGAAAGAUAUUGUUUCGGUGGGGGGUGGGCUCGCGGCCUAUCAGCUUGUUGGUGGGGUGAUGGCCUACCAAGGCGGUGACGGGUAGCCGGCCUGAGAGGGUGGACGGUCACACUGGGACUGAGACACGGCCCAGACUCCUACGGGAGGCAGCAGUGGGGAAUAGUGCACAAUGGGCGCAAGCCUGAUGCAGCGACGCCGCGUGAGGGAUGGAGGCCUUCGGGUUGUGAACCUCUUUCGCCAGUGAAGCAGGCCUGCCUCGUUUGUGGGUGGGUUGACGGUAGCUGGAUAAGAAGCGCCGGCUAACUACGUG